UACAGAGGGUGCAAGCGUUGUUCGGAAUUACUGGGCGUAAAGCGUGCGUAGUCGGUAUUGAGAGUCGCGGGUGAAAUCCCAGGGCUUAACCCUGGAACUGCCUGCGAGACCUCAGUACUAGAGUGUGAGAGGGGAUAGUGGAAUACCCAGUGUAGCGGUGAAAUGCGUAGAGAUUGGGUGGAACACCGGUGGCGAAGGCGGCUAUCUGGCUCACAACUGACGAUCAGGCACGAAAGCGUGGGGAGCAAAC
Molecule: ribosomal RNA, 250 nt
Filed under: uncultured bacterium
Lineage: Bacteria
Description: partial 16S ribosomal RNA
Rfam family: Bacterial small subunit ribosomal RNA
Source: RNAcentral